Molecule: non-coding RNA, 73 nt
Organism: Dermacentor andersoni
Lineage: Eukaryota; Metazoa; Arthropoda; Arachnida; Ixodida; Ixodidae
Source: the annotation of a RefSeq genome assembly
GCCGUGGUUGCUUAGUGGCUAUGGUGUUUGCCUGCUAAGCACGAGGUACCGGGUUCAAAUCCCGGCCACGGCG